Long non-coding RNA from Pipra filicauda (Wire-tailed manakin), 530 nucleotides. RefSeq lists it as uncharacterized. The record is from RefSeq and is a predicted model, not a curated record. NCBI's taxonomy places the organism in Eukaryota, Metazoa, Chordata, Aves, Passeriformes, Pipridae. The transcript is spliced from 3 exons.
CAUGGGCACUGGCAAACAUUGCACCUCCCAAGCCAGCCCUUACAAAGUGUCCAUACCCAGGCCAGCACGGGGGACAAGAUUCUGUGACUGAGACAACCCCAGCUUUGCAGCAACCAAGGAGCACAGAAUCUCUUGUGAGGAGGAUUGGAUAGAGAUCCCAGACUUUAAGGAAUGUGUUGCAAUGCGGACUCAGAAAUGCCAGCUGCCCAAGUCCCAAUGAAUCCUAGCUGCAGAAACCACUGUUUCUCCAGCAUCAUCUCUCUUUUGGCAUCGAGCUUGUGUUUGAGACCUUUCAAAUGCUGCAGAAGAUGCUUCUUGCUCAAGAAAAAAUUAUCUCAUCUCUUGGGAGGGAACAGACUGGAAGUUGCAGCUCACAAACUGUGUUGCAUUUUAAAAACACCCUCCCCCGAGGCCUGGGGCAGACGCGGUGCAGGAAGGAGCUCCCCUUGCUGAGAGGACAAAGGCUGCUGGAGAGGAAGGUGGGGUGGCUGGCCCAGCACUCGCCGUGUCCCGAGGAUGGCUUUGCCUUU